CCAAUAUUUGUUUUGACAAUUUGUACAUUGUGAUAUUGCUUUAGACCAUUCUUUCCUUAAUCCAACCGUCAAACAUGGACACUCUGGUAUAGACAUCAGGAUUGUUCGAGGCACAGAAUGCAGUUCCAUAGGAGACGACGCCCACCUGUUUAUAGGACUCACCACUCUUCAUCACCAAAGGACCGCCAGAAUCGCCCUUAAAAAGCACCCUUGCCAAACCUUUCCAAGGCACAGAUCUCUGUGUCCGUCAGCUGGGUCAUCGUCUCCUUGCACUUGGAAUUGCUCAGUGUCUUGUAGUCGAGUUUCUGGAGUACAGUGGGAUAUUUGGCGAAAGGACCUGUGCCAAAGUGGAAGACAGAACCCCAUCCGGUGAGGAGAACCUCCUGAUCGGCACCUACCAUGUCCGAUCCACUGACGUCGAUGGUGGACACACGCUUCUCGUCCAGCUCAAAGGGCGGAUCGAUCUUGAGGAUGGCAAUGUCACUAGUCACCAGCUCCUGGUAGUUCUCGUUCAUCUCGUACGACUGCACCUGCGAUCGGAAGCCGGAGCUAUCGUUGAGAUCCCUAAUCCCAGCAACUACGCUAAUUCGACUGGCAUUCUGGCCAUUGACGCAGUGGGCAGCGGUAAGGACGCGAUUUGGGGCUAUCAGGGAUCCACCACAGAAGUGUCGCAUCUUUCCACUGCGGGUAAGAAACUGCAUGGACACCUGGUAGGGAACAUAUUCAUCCUCUGGCACAUCGUAACCGCCAACAACUCGCUCCUGGGAAUUAAGGUCUGCCUCCUCGAAAUACUUGUCCACUGCGAUAAUCGUGGAAAAAUGUAUACAGUACUCUUUGGUUAAGUUAUAAAUUUCACUUACAAUCG
Molecule: long non-coding RNA, 865 nt
Filed under: Drosophila melanogaster (fruit fly)
Lineage: Eukaryota; Metazoa; Arthropoda; Insecta; Diptera; Drosophilidae
Description: antisense RNA:CR43477 (Dmel_CR43477)
Source: RNAcentral